RNAcentral lists this ribosomal RNA (528 nucleotides) under uncultured Algoriphagus sp. RNAcentral's name for it is "bacterial SSU rRNA". It matches the Rfam family "Bacterial small subunit ribosomal RNA", at positions 92 to 619 of the family's 1533-position model. The record is from RNAcentral. Lineage: Bacteria; Pseudomonadati; Bacteroidota; Cytophagia; Cytophagales; Cyclobacteriaceae.
AGAGCGGCGCACGGGUGCGUAACGCGUAUGCAACCUACCUCAUACAGGGGGAUAGCCCGGAGAAAUCUGGAUUAAUACCCCAUGGUACUACUACAAGGCAUUUUGUUAUAGUUAAAGAUUCAUCGGUAUGAGAUGGGCAUGCGUCUGAUUAGCUAGUUGGCGGUGUAACGGACCACCAAGGCGACGAUCAGUAGGGGUUCUGAGAGGAAGGUCCCCCACACUGGCACUGAGAUACGGGCCAGACUCCUACGGGAGGCAGCAGUAGGGAAUAUUGGGCAAUGGACGAGAGUCUGACCCAGCCAUGCCGCGUGCAGGAAGACGGCGUUCUGCGUUGUAAACUGCUUUUAUCUGGGAAGAAAAGGCCCAUGCGUGGGACAUUGCCGGUACCAGAUGAAUAAGCACCGGCUAACUCCGUGCCAGCAGCCGCGGUAAUACGGAGGAUCCAAGCGUUAUCCGGAAUCAUUGGGUUUAAAGGGUCCGUAGGCGGCCUUAUAAGUCAGUGGUGAAAUCUCCCAGCUCAACUGGGAA